GAGACAACUCACAUUUUCCAUUUUCUUUUUUCUUUACUUCACUUGGACCAGACGAGAAUAUCAGCACCAAGCAAGGCGGUGCCAGGUCGCCAUUACCAAAACCCAAAACGGUUUCUUAUUUUUCCCACCAUCGAACUUAACCUUUAAGUUUUCAAAACCACUCUCCCUCCGCCAUUUCUCAUUUUCUCAGUUUUUCUCCAACUUUCUCACAUUUUCUCGGAGGAUUCGGCAGAUUCCAGACGUUCAUUAUACUAUCAGAGAGUUUUAUAUGGCUUUGGUUUCUUGCUGAUUUGGUCAUCAUGCAACGUAAUAUGACCGCUUAACGAGUCAAGAAACUACUUCUUAUUUACCAACUGGUGAAGGAGGGCAUUGACUUGUGGUUCUCCGUCUAUUUUCACACCUGUCUGUUUAUUUCCACGUCGAAUUGGAGCAGCAAACUAGGAUCCUUGUUACAUGAGUGUUGUAUUUGGGAGUUAAUGAUGAUCCAUCACUUAUGGAUGAACUUGGUGCAGUCUUUCAAGAUUAUUUGAAGAUUAUGAGGGAAUAUUACUGACAAAACGAAGCCUGAACUUCCAGUUUUGGUCCUAAAUGGUUGCAGAACAUUGUAGUUGGUUCAGCCAAAUAAUAGACCAGAAAUUAACAGAUUGAAGAUUUAAUUUCAGAAAAGUGAACUAUCCUUCAAUAUUUGCCAAAAAAAUCUGAAAGUUCCAGUCAAAGAACCAGUCUCUCUGAAUGGGCACCUAGUCCUUGUGGACUAGCAUACAGAUAUGGUUCUUUGGAAGUUCUUAAAUGCUAAUCAGCAGUAUUUUUAUUUAAUUUCAAUCACCAUGGCAAUUAACCAUAGAGGUUUUGAUGCAACUGCAUAGUCGGCAGGAUGAAGAAAUGGUACGCUGGGGUUGUAAUUGUAUCCUUCUUUAUGUUGAUUUUUGUAAGAUACAGUGUCAAGACAAAUCCUAUUGGCCAGAAUAACUGGAAAAGUCCUGUAAUAGCCAAUUUGACUAAUCCUCUUGAAUGGGUGCGUUUAACGGAUCCCGAUGCUGUCCAGAGCCCAGCAAAUACUUCCGAUGUGAUUUCAACUGAUGCUAUAAUCUUCAGCCUUUUUGCUCAGAGAAAUUUUUCCAGUGAAGAGCAACAAUCUUUGCAGACAUGGAAUCUUCUGAAGAACUUAAUUGAUCAGGCUCAGGUUUACCAAAUGGAGUGCAGCUAUAAGGAAGCUGCUAGUGCUUGGGGUAACCUUAUGGCUUCAAUUGAAGAGGAAAAUCUUGCUUAUACAAAUGGAAGUUCUGGUAGAGUUGGGAAAGAAAACAAUGUCC
This is a non-coding RNA of Carica papaya (papaya), 1313 nucleotides long. The record is from RefSeq and is a predicted model, not a curated record. NCBI's taxonomy places the organism in Eukaryota, Viridiplantae, Streptophyta, Magnoliopsida, Brassicales, Caricaceae.